ACUCAAAUGAAUUGACGGGGACCCGCACAAGCGGUGGAGCAUGUGGUUUAAUUCGAUGCAGAGCGAAGAACCUUACCUAGGCUUGACAUCUAGCUGCAAGCUCCUGGAAACAGGAGCCCCCUUCGAGGGUGCUAGACAGGUGUUGCAUGGUUGUCGUCAGCUCGUGGCGUGAGCUGUUUGGUUAAGUCCAGCAACGAGCGCAACCCCUGCCCUGUGUUGAAUUCUCACAGGGGACUGCCGGCGUAUAGUCGGAGGAAGGUGGGGAUGACGUCAAAUCCGCAUGGCCCUCUGAUGCCUAGGGCUACACGCAUGCUACAAUGGCCAGUACAGAGCGACUGCUAAACCGCAAGGUGGAGCGAAUCGCAUCAAAGCUGGCCCCAGUUCGGAUUGAGGGCUGCAACUCGCCCUCAUGAAGUCGGAAUCGCUAGUAACCGUGGGUCAGCCAUACCACGGUGAAUACGUUCUCGGGUCUUGUACACACCGCCCGU
Molecule: ribosomal RNA, 488 nt
Filed under: uncultured bacterium
Lineage: Bacteria
Description: partial 16S ribosomal RNA
Rfam family: Bacterial small subunit ribosomal RNA
Source: RNAcentral